AUGAACGCUGGCGGCGUGCUUAAUACAUGCAAGUCGAACGGAGAUAGUAGCAAUAUUAUCUUAGUGGCGAACGGGUGAGUAACGCGUUGGUGACCUGCCCCGAAGAGAGGGAUAGCAGUUCGAAAGGACUGAUAAUACCUCAUGUGGUUGUCGGUUUUAGAAUCUGAUAACUAAACGGAUUUAUUCGCUUCGGGAGGGGCCUGCGUCCCAUCAGCUAGUUGGUAGGGUAAUGGCCUACCAAGGCUAUGACGGGUAGGGGACCUGAGAGGGUGGCCCCCCACAAUGGAACUGAAACACGGUCCAUACACCUACGGGUGGCAGCAGUAGGGAAUAUUGGUUAAUCUGGGAAACCGGGAACCAGCAACGCCGCGUGCACGAUGAAGGCCUUCGGGUUGUAAAGUGCUUUUUGAAAGGAUGAGGAAGGACAGUACUUUCAGAAUAAGCUUCGGCUAACUACGU
Molecule: ribosomal RNA, 459 nt
Filed under: uncultured bacterium
Lineage: Bacteria
Description: bacterial SSU rRNA
Rfam family: Bacterial small subunit ribosomal RNA
Source: RNAcentral